This is a long non-coding RNA of Peromyscus californicus insignis, 4221 nucleotides long. RefSeq lists it as uncharacterized. The record is from RefSeq and is a predicted model, not a curated record. NCBI's taxonomy places the organism in Eukaryota, Metazoa, Chordata, Mammalia, Rodentia, Cricetidae. The transcript is spliced from 6 exons.
UCUUCCUCUAGCCCCAAGCGUUCCAGCCCUCCAGGUCACAGAGGAGAGAGCUUCUCCUAGCCUUGGGCGGGACCAGGGACAGACAGCUCUGCAGGGAAAAUGAUCCCGGAAUGGUGCUCCAGGGCUGGAGGUCUUAAAACCACUUCCUUGCCAAGUACAGAAAAGGAAAGGGACCUAACUUCAUACCACACUCACAGCUACAGGGCGGGCCAAGGUCCCCGAUGCCACCUGUGGAUUUCCCCCUGCAGUCACAGAAAAACUGUUGCAAGAAGGGAAGCAUUGCUAACGGGCACUUCUGUCGGAGUAUCAGCUGGGAGUGCCGAGAAGGAAGCAGACCCAGGAGCUGAUCAGGUCUCAUGCUAAGCCAAGCUGAUGGGAAACUCACUCUGUAGCCCCCAGACUUACAAUAAUCUUCCUACCUCAGCCUUCCUUCCAAGGCUUGGAUUACAGGACAGCUUCCCAUUCUGGAGAUCCUGCUGGGCACACACCACCCUUGGUUCUCAGAGUUGCUGGCAGUCUUGAGGUCUGCACGUGUCUCUCUCACUGUGCCCUUUGACCUGAUUGUGGACUUCCUGUUUCUGGGAAGGUAAUGCAGUGGGGAGAUGGGGAGGUGGGGCAGGGCAAGGACGGGCCCUUCCCUCUCCUCUGUGGGCGUCCACAGCUUCUGGGAGAGCCUUCAGCCUGUGUUCUCCUGGGUGUAGCUCCUCUCCUUCUUCAUCAUGAACUCCUCCCAUCUCCAAGGGCCUGGAGUGGAAGUCAACUCAGAAGUGAACUCAGCUGAGGGUCUCACUCCUAGGCGCUAGUCUCCAGCCUAUGGGACGGACCACUGGGAGCUCGGUGUGAUGGCACUCCUGUGAUCCCAGCACUUUGGAGGCUGAAGCAUGGAGCAUUAUAAAUUGAAGGCCAGCUUUGGCUACAUAGACAUGUUGGAAAACCAAACAAAACCAGGUCCCUCAGCUAGCAGCUCUGCCUCUUGGCCAGAGCCUUGGGUGAGCUUCCACAGUUCAGCCUGUAGUGGAGAGGACGGUCCACGAAGUCUCAGGCCUUGGCCACACAGAGACAUACCUGGGUCUUUCCUUGAAUCUGGAGUUCGCUGAUGAAGCUAGAUGCUCCCAACAUCCCCGUCUCCACUUCCCCAGCCCCAGGAUCACAGGAGCCAUGAUGGUGACGCUCAGAGCCAAGACACUGGUGGAAGAUGGUCGUCCGUCCACUAAAACGCCUACUCGGUGCGGAGCUCCCCAUGUGAUGGCCAGCGAGACUUUGCCCAGCUGUGGGUCAUCUUACGGACUUGGGGGUCUGCCUCCUGAGAGCCAUGGGAGGCUACUGCAGGGACUUAGGUCAGGCAGGGUGUGACGGAGGGAGGUGGUGGACAAGGCUGCUGUGUGGAAAAUGGAGCUGAGUGAGCCAGGGUGCUGUGGAGACAGCGGCUACCGCAUUAGAGAGGUCCCAGUGGUGAUGGUGCCAGGGCGCGUGCUUAUAGAAGCCAAUGCAUAUAUCUGAGUGUGGUAGCACACUCUUGUAAUCCCAGUAUUCUGGAGGCAGAAGCAGGUGGGUUACUGCAAACUCAAGCCCAGCCUGGGCUACAUAGCAAGACACAAACAAAACAAAAACAAACAAAAAAAACCCAAAACACCAGCUGGGCAAACUGGUUCAUGCCUAUAAAUCCCAGCACGUGGGAGGCUGAGGCAGGAGGAUUGCAACAAGUUCAAGAUCAGCUUGGGCAUUAGAGUGAGACUCUGUCUCAAAAACAAAAACAAAAACAAAUGAACAAACAAAACCAUUUCCUCUCCCAGGCAGCAACACAUGAAACAGUUCCGCAUCGCAGCUCAUUCAUGUAAUUUUAUCACUUGGGAGACUGAACCAGGAGGAUUGCUGCAGGUUCAAGGCUGGCCCUGGCUCCAGUGUGACACUCCAUGUCAGAAAACUUAAAUAGGCAAAGAAGACCAACUGACCCACUAACCAAGAACCCAAUGGCACGUAUUUAUUGGUGGGAGACAGGCCAUGUAGCCUCUCCUCAUUCUCCACAGCCACCUGAAGUCGUCCCUUGCUGGAUCCUAGACCCUCUUCCCUUCCAGAGGACCUGUCCCCAGGAUGAGCUUGUCUUGAAGCUUCAUUCAAAUGGGCCACACCACCACUAGGCUGUGAACACAGCCACAUUCACCAUGCCUGCAGCCGAGUUCUUGGCAGACCCCCAUGCCAGCCCCAAAAGGCUUUUACACCUAGUGUAUGUAUGCGGGGGAUGAUAGGGUCCCAAUUUACAGUCCCUCUUGCUUUCUGAUCCAAGGCACAAUCAGAGGCAAUCCAUCUCCAGGGAACUGACUCAUGAUAAACUUCUAGAAGCCCAAAUAAGAAAGCAUAAUGGUAAAGUAGUCUAUAAAGGUCUCAUAGAGUUGCAGGACACAGUCCCAAUUAUGGUAAUUUUAUGGCACGCACACACAGAGAUCAGAACAGUGCUGGUGUCGAGCACACUGGCUAUGGCCACACUGAAUGUAGAGGACGUGCAGGAUUUAGGUUGGCCGUGCAUGUGUGUCUGGUGUGUGGAUUAUCUUCUCAGAAUUAGAGAUGGCUCAUCCAUCCUCGUGCAAUAUUUCCAGGAAGUCCCUGGGGGAGGCCUCAUGAAGUCUUCUGCCUCCCACUAUAAAGUGCCUCUCUGGCACCUGGGAAGUCUCUGCUCUCCAGAGCGUUGGGGUGUUCGUAGCUGUCCCCAGGAUCCGCUGGGUGACAGCAAACAUCUUGUCUCCGUUCUCUUCUUCCUGACACUGAUUGCCUUUGAACUCUCACAGUCUUUCUCCAAACAGAGUUAUGCCUUCUCAGACUGCUCUCUCCUUCCUGUUUUUGAGACAGUGUCUCAGGCUGAACUCGUUAUGCAGCCCAGGCUGGUGUCAAACUUGUGGCAAUCCUCCUGCCUCAGCCUCCGGUGCUAGGAUUACAGAUAUGAGCCACCACACCUGUCCAAUUUCUCACUCUGUGCAUCAUCCAUUCUGCUGCUCAGCGGCUGCUCAUCGUGCAUCUUAGUUCCUGUGCCUGAACAUAUGGGCUUCCAAAUCCUUUCAGCUUCCUGUUCGUGGACAGUCCCUUGGGUCACUUCUCUACUCUGCUUGUGUGGUCACUACCCAGUCUGGUUCUCAGAAGGUCACCCUGGGAGGCUCCUCUGGCCACAAAUGCUGGCAAACCCAUUCUGUGUGGCUAGGUUUACUGCUAGCCACCUUCCCUGGGCCUGAUGAUGAUGAAGAGGAGGGGGAGGGGAGGGCUCACAUUUGUGGACCUCACAGCUUGCAAACUACAUACUUCUAUUUGAUCUUUAGAGCAAUAUAAUAACUCUGUGAGCUACAGCGAUCCUGGCACACCAGAAACAGAAGUUUGGAAGUUCCGAGUAGUGGCUGGCAUGAUAGCAGCACAUAUCUGUGAUAUAGCAGGUUCAGAACUACAUGAAACACUCGGGGCCCAGCCCCCUAUUUACAGUACCCCUCUGCUUUCUUGUACAAUGUGUGGUCAAAAUGAACUGUUAUGUCCAGGGGCUGCUGAUGGCAGUGAUCCCAUCAGCACACCACACUGGUGUGGCCAAAGCCACCAUGACACCACAUUGGUUGUCUUAAAAUAAGACAAACUCAGUUCAUGAAUGGCUGGUCCGUGGUGUGUUCAUAUCCAACAACAGAGACAGAGUAAAAGUGUUUGUAGGGUGAGAAGAGGGAGAGAAAUGGGAGCCUUCCAAACUAGAACAGAACCCUCCCUCCCAUCACCCCUGGAGGCGGGACUUGGAUGCUGAAGUUGGUAAUUAGUCCUAUGACUUGGGCCAGUCACAUCAUUUCUAUGGCAGCCCUCCAUUUCCUCUGGGCCAAAAGGAAUAAUAAAGUUUUGGCUUCUGUAAUGGAAAAAUAGCUUGGAUCAAUUCCCCAACCUCAAUCAGCCAUGGAAGGCAGCAGUUUUAAAAUCUGGACGCGCACACAAAGUGGGUGGGUGCAGAUGUGUCUGCAUGGGUGUGUAGAUCAGAGGAUCGUCUUCAGUAUUGUUCCUCAGGUGCCAUCCACACUGUUCACCUGGUUUUUGCCCACCUCCAACCAUGGGGAAUUGAAACUAGGACCUCACAUGUGCUGGUCAAGCACUCUACCACCAAGUUACACCCCUCAGAAAUCCACCCUGCUUUUUGAAACAGGGCCUCUCACUGGCCCUAAAUGUGCUGAUUUGGUGAGGCCGGCAGGUCAGCAUCAGUCUGCCUCCAGC